GUAGUACUCCCUCCGUCCGAAAAUACUUGUCAGAGAAAUGAAUGAAAAUGGGUGUAUCUAAAACUAAAUUGUAUCUAGAUACAUCCAUUUCUUCGACAAGUAUUUUUGGACCGAGGGAGUACAUA
Non-coding RNA from Triticum aestivum (bread wheat), 125 nucleotides. Lineage: Eukaryota; Viridiplantae; Streptophyta; Magnoliopsida; Poales; Poaceae. The record is from Rfam.